This 249-nucleotide long non-coding RNA is filed under the name Elaeis guineensis (African oil palm). RNAcentral describes it as "long non-coding RNA (EGUI_LNC079848)". Lineage: Eukaryota; Viridiplantae; Streptophyta; Magnoliopsida; Arecales; Arecaceae. The record is from RNAcentral.
UCGAUCGCCGUAAUCUGAUCACCGUCGGGAGGGUCUGAUCAUCGCAAUACAGCUACACAGUAUUUCUGAUCUCUGUGGAUCAUCCACACGAAGCUCUCGAUCUGAUCGACUCCUCACAAAUGCUAGUUCAUCGCAGAACCCUUUUGACGGCCGAUGUUGAUCGAACUCUUUUGAUCUUGAUCUGUCGACUCUUUGGAUGCUCCAGAUCAUCAGUAGAUGUACUUGAGAGGUUGAUGAAGCUCUUCUUGA